This is a long non-coding RNA of Quercus lobata, 982 nucleotides long. RefSeq lists it as uncharacterized. The record is from RefSeq and is a predicted model, not a curated record. The transcript has 4 exons. NCBI's taxonomy places the organism in Eukaryota, Viridiplantae, Streptophyta, Magnoliopsida, Fagales, Fagaceae.
CUGAAAUAGAGAUGGGACCUCUCUGAUAAGAUUCUUACACCCAGAUCUUGGAAACAUUUACAAGUUCUGUUGGUGUUGAAGUGCAUGGCAGUUAAGUUAUUAGAAAUACUUGAUUGUAGUAACUUGUGAAUUGCCGCUGCCUCUCCUGCUCUGAAUCUGCACCUUGUGUUGAAGUUUGGAAAUCUGUGUAUUUAAUACAUGAAAGUCCUGUCUGAAAUUGCACUUCAAAUUAUCAAAAAAGAAAAAGAAAAAAAGAAAAGAGCAGGCACUUCGGAUUGUAGGAUUGCCAAUAGGGCCAGAAGGCUCUGCAGUAAAAAGGAUAAAGGGAAGCCUUUGAUAGGCAACAAUAAUCUAUGAAGGGGAAGCUAAAUCAAGGCCUUGUGGAAUGUAUGAGCUGACAAGGUAUUCUGUUAUGUCAGAUUGUACAUGAAAGAAUAAAAUAUAAGCAGGGCUAGGUUUUGUUUGCAAAGAUCGAGCAAGACAAAAGAAUCUUAGCUAGCUACCAAGGUGGCGAUCAUCUGCUUGGCUGUGAAAGAAGCUCUGGAGGCAACAAAAAACAAAGGAUUUACAAGGUUAUUACUCUUCUAGCUAAUGUUGAAGCAGUGGCCUUAUGGUAGAAUACAAGGCUUCCUAGAUAGCAAAAUGCAAGCAGUCGUGAAGGAUGUAUGAAACAUAGGCUGUCAAAUGGAAGGAAUAUGGCUAAGAACAUAGAAUGUUCAAAAACUACAAGAUACUUUGGGGCAUGUUUUGGGAGUGGCUAUCCGUGAUGGCGGGUGUCAUUGUAUUGGGGCUAUGUGUGCAAGAAUAGAAGCAGGCAAUGAUUGGGUUGAAGAACAUGCUCUAGGAUUAUGCAGUGCAGUGGAGCUGGGGCAUUUUCAUUUCUUAGUUGGGAUUUUUGUGUACUACUACCACUAUCAUUUUUUGUUUUUUGUUUACUGUUUUUGUGCUGUUGACUGUGAAUAUUAUUAUUAUUAUUAUUGAA